Diorhabda carinulata is the source of this 461-nucleotide long non-coding RNA. RefSeq lists it as uncharacterized. Lineage: Eukaryota; Metazoa; Arthropoda; Insecta; Coleoptera; Chrysomelidae. The transcript has 2 exons. The record is from RefSeq and is a predicted model, not a curated record.
AUAAUAAUUUAGGUGAUAGAUAAAUGUCAUUGUAUAUUUUCUAUAAUGUAGUUGUCCAAUUGUUUAUUUUUGCUUACUGAUUUCCUUCUUCUAUUGAGAUUAAUUAUGAAAUUUUUUAGAAUCAAUUGCAAGGACUAGUUCCUCUAUCAGCACCUUUACUGGUAACAGCCCAAUAGAGGGAACAAAAAAACCUUUUAAGGUGUACACAAGGAAGCGAUUAUUUCAAGCCCUUGUUGAAGAACCUUUCACAACUAUUGACACUGUCCAUAUAAUAAAUUUGAAUUGAACCUGAAGUCAUGAAUUUAUAUAAUUUGUAUUUGUAUAAUUAAUGAACCAUCAAAUCGACUAAUAUGGAAACAGAUAAACUUGAAGGGCACUCGACUGUGACAUGUGAGUAAAAAAAAUUUUGUUAUGGUGGAUAUAAUAAAAUGUCAAAAACAAAAUAAAAAUUAUAAUAAUCA